CCUACGGGAGGCAGCAGUGGGGAAUAUUGGACAAUGGGCGAAAGCCUGAUCCAGCCAUGCCGCGUGUGAGAAGAAGGCCUUCGGGUUGUAAAGCACUUUCAGUGGGGAAGAAAGCCUUGGGGCUAAUACCCUCGAGGAAGGACAUCACCCACAGAAGAAGCACCGGCUAACUCCGUGCCAGCAGCCGCGGUAAUACGGAGGGUGCGAGCGUUAAUCGGAAUUACUGGGCGUAAAGCGCGCGUAGGCGGUCUGAUAAGCCGGUUGUGAAAGCCCCGGGCUCAACCUGGGAACGGCAUCCGGAACUGUCAGGCUAGAGUGCAGGAGAGGAAGGUAGAAUUCCCGGUGUAGCGGUGAAAUGCGUAGAGAUCGGGAGGAAUACCAGUGGCGAAGGCGGCCUUCUGGACUGACACUGACGCUGAGGUGCGAAAGCGUGGGUAGCAAACAGGAUUAGAUACCCCAGUAGUC
RNAcentral lists this ribosomal RNA (465 nucleotides) under Vreelandella stevensii. Its description in RNAcentral is "partial 16S ribosomal RNA". It matches the Rfam family "Bacterial small subunit ribosomal RNA", at positions 338 to 795 of the family's 1533-position model. Lineage: Bacteria; Pseudomonadati; Pseudomonadota; Gammaproteobacteria; Oceanospirillales; Halomonadaceae. The record is from RNAcentral.